UACGGAGGGUGCAAGCGUUGUUCGGAAUCAUUGGGCGUAAAGCGCGCGUAGGCGGUUCUCUAAGUCUGGUGUGAAAGCCCGGGGCUCAACCCCGGAAGUGCACUGGAUACUGGAAAACUAGAGGACGGGAGAGGAGAUCGGAAUUCAUGGUGUAGGGGUGAAAUCCGUAGAUAUCAUGAGGAACAUCUGUGGCGAAGGCGGAUCUCUGGCUCGUAUCUGACGCUGAGGCGCGAAAGCGUGGGGAGCAAACAGG
This 253-nucleotide ribosomal RNA is filed under the name uncultured bacterium. Its description in RNAcentral is "partial 16S ribosomal RNA". It matches the Rfam family "Bacterial small subunit ribosomal RNA", at positions 524 to 776 of the family's 1533-position model. The record is from RNAcentral.